GGGCCAGUGGCGCAACGGAUAACGCGCCUGACUACGAAUCAGGAGAUUCCAGGUUCAAAUCCUGGCUGGCUCG
Molecule: transfer RNA, 73 nt
Filed under: Trichonephila clavata
Lineage: Eukaryota; Metazoa; Arthropoda; Arachnida; Araneae; Nephilidae
Rfam family: tRNA
About the family: Transfer RNA (tRNA) molecules are approximately 80 nucleotides in length. Their secondary structure includes four short double-helical elements and three loops (D, anti-codon, and T loops).
Source: Rfam by way of RNAcentral